CGCUUAGAUGUUCUGGGCCGCACGCGCGCUACACUGAUGCAUUCAACGAGUUUCUUCCUGGUCCGAGAGGAAUGGGUAACCUUUUGAAAGUGCAUCGUGAUAGGGAUAGACUAUUGCAAUUAUUGGUCUUCAACGAGGAAUUCCUAGUAGACGUAGUUCAUCAGACUGCAUCGAUUGCGUCCCUGCCCUUUGUACACACCGCCCGUCGCUCCUACCGAUUGAAUGCUCAGGUGAGCCAUUCGGACUUUCAUCAUGCUGGUUUCCAGUUUUGAUGAAGGAAAGUCUUGCGAACCUUAUCAUUUAGAGGAAGGAGAAGUCGUAACA
Molecule: ribosomal RNA, 324 nt
Filed under: uncultured eukaryote
Lineage: Eukaryota
Description: partial 18S ribosomal RNA
Rfam family: Eukaryotic small subunit ribosomal RNA
Source: RNAcentral